This is a long non-coding RNA of Panthera uncia (snow leopard), 1562 nucleotides long. RefSeq lists it as uncharacterized. The record is from RefSeq and is a predicted model, not a curated record. Lineage: Eukaryota; Metazoa; Chordata; Mammalia; Carnivora; Felidae. The transcript is spliced from 2 exons.
GAUCUAUUUUCAUUAUCUUGAGCCUUUUUGGGAAAUAUUUUCCCCGGGCUUUAUUGAAUUGACCGCUGUUUCUGUCAAGGUUGCCGUUCAUUCUGGAUCUUUGCAUCUUAUUUAGGAGUCUUCAGUCUCCAAUGAAGAAUUUCUAAAACUAUCGCAUGGGAGUAUCCCCACCAGAGCCCAAAGCAACCUGCAAACAUUGCAGUGUGAAUAUGAUAGAAAAUGGAAUUUGCUGUGAUUUGAGGAAGAAUUGUAAGCUUGUAUGUAUGUAUAUAUUUAUUUAUUUAGAACACAAAUGGGGGAGGGUCAGAGAGAGGGAGGGAGGGAGGGAGGGAGGGAGGGAGAGAGAGAGAGAGAGAGAGAGAGAAUCCCAAGCAGGCCCUGCACUAUUAGUGGGGGGCCCGAUGUGGGGCUCCAACUGACAAACCAUGAGAUCAUGACCUGAGCCGAAGUUGGACGCUUAACCAACGGAGUCACCCAGGUGCCCCCUCAGCCCAUUUUUUAAUCAGAUUAUUAUUUUUGUUGUUGUUGUUGUUGUUUUUUGGUGUUGAGUUGUAUAAGUUCUUUAUAUAUUUCAGAUAAUAACCCUAAUUGGAUAUAUCAUUUGCAAAUAUCUUUUCUCAUUUAAUCAGGUUGGCUUUGUGUUUUCUUGAUGUCUUUCUUUGCUCUGCAAGCCUUUUUAUUUUGGUAUAGUCUCAGUGGUUUAUUUUUGCUUUUUGUUUCCCUUGCUUGAGGAGACAUAUCUAGAAAACUGUUGCUAAGCCAGAUAUGAAAGAGAUCAUCGCCUAUGUUUUCUUGUAGGAAUUUUAUGGUGUAGGGUCUCAGACUUCGGUCUUUGUAUCCUCUCAUUUCAUUGUCAAAUAACCCGGUGAGGUGGUGUUAUAGGUUAAAUUGUGUCCACCAAAAGAAGAUACGUUAAAGUCUUCACCCCCUAAAUCUCAGAACGUGACCUUAUUUGGAAAUAGGAUCUUCUUGGGUUUAAUUCGGUUAAGAUGAGGUUGUUAGAGCGGCCCCUAAUUCAGCAUGGGGAAAUUUGAACACGGAUACAGAGGGAAGCUGAUGUGAAGACCCCCGAAUCAUAUGUAGACAGAGGAUUGGAGUGAUGCAUCUAUACACAUCUAUGCGGAAUGGUGAAGUUUGCUGGCAAGCUGAAGCUAGGAGGAGACACGGAAGGAUUUCCCUACAGGUUUCAGAGAGAGCAGGGCCUUGUUGAAAUCUUGAUUAUCUAUCUGUCUAUCUGUCUAUCUAUUUAUUUAUUUAUGAGAGAGAGCUCACGUGAGUGAGGGGCAGAGGGAGAGGGGGAGAGAGAACUCCAUGAAGUGCAGAGAGAGAGGGAGGGCGAGAGUGCGGAGCCCAGAGAGGCGCUCAGACUCACCCGAUACGGAGCUCCAACUCAGGAACCUCGAGAUCAUGACCUGUGCCGAAGUCGGAUGCUAAACCGACUGAGCCAAUCAGAUGCUCCAACCUUGACUUUGGAUCUACUAGCCUCUAGAACCAUGACAUAAUAAAUUCCUUUUUCAAGAAACCUAGUUUUUGGCACUUUGAUGUAGUGGCCCUUGGAAACC